RNAcentral lists this unclassified non-coding RNA (21 nucleotides) under Mus musculus (house mouse). RNAcentral's name for it is "oocyte_clustered_small_RNA4130". The record is from RNAcentral. Lineage: Eukaryota; Metazoa; Chordata; Mammalia; Rodentia; Muridae.
AAGCAUACAUCCCAGGACUCC